UUUCCGUUGGUGAACCAGCGGAAGGAUCAUUAAUGAACAAGUACGUGCGGGGGAGGGUUGUGCUGGCGCGUCCGCGCGCACGUGCACGCCCGCCCCCGUCGUCCGUCCACUCACACCUGUGCACCUUGCUCGUCAGGUCGAGGGGUCCCCCUCGGCCCGGCGCACUUUUCACACCACCUGUCUUAACCGGAUGUCAAUUGCGUAAACGCAACCGAAAAACAACUUUUAACAACGGAUCUCUUGGUUCUCGCAUCGAUGAAGAACGCAGC
RNAcentral lists this unclassified non-coding RNA (269 nucleotides) under uncultured fungus. Its description in RNAcentral is "sequence contains ITS1, 5.8S rRNA gene". The stretch from base 221 to 269 matches the Rfam family "5.8S ribosomal RNA", at positions 1 to 49 of the family's 154-position model. The record is from RNAcentral. Lineage: Eukaryota; Fungi.